This 481-nucleotide ribosomal RNA is filed under the name uncultured bacterium. Its description in RNAcentral is "partial 16S ribosomal RNA". It matches the Rfam family "Bacterial small subunit ribosomal RNA", at positions 28 to 507 of the family's 1533-position model. The record is from RNAcentral.
GAUGAACGCUGGCGGCGUGCUUAACACAUGCAAGUCGAACGAAGCAUUUGCGACAGAUUUUUUCGGAAUGAAGUUGCUUAUGACUGAGUGGCGGACGGGUGAGUAACGCGUGGGUAACCUGCCUUGUACUGGGGGAUAGCAGCUGGAAACGGCUGGUAAUACCGCAUAAGCGCACAAUGUUGCAUGACAUGGUGUGAAAAACUCCGGUGGUAUAAGAUGGACCCGCGUCUGAUUAGCUAGUUGGUGAGAUAACAGCCCACCAAGGCGACGAUCAGUAGCCGACCUGAGAGGGUGACCGGCCACAUUGGGACUGAGACACGGCCCAGACUCCUACGGGAGGCAGCAGUGGGGAAUAUUGCACAAUGGAGGAAACUCUGAUGCGGCGACGCCGCGUGAGUGAAGAAGUAAUUCGUUAUGUAAAGCUCUAUCAGCAGGGAAGAUAGUGACGGUACCUGACUAAGAAGCUCCGGCUAAAUACGUG